RNAcentral lists this ribosomal RNA (421 nucleotides) under TM7 phylum sp. canine oral taxon 250. RNAcentral's name for it is "bacterial SSU rRNA". It matches the Rfam family "Bacterial small subunit ribosomal RNA", at positions 9 to 440 of the family's 1533-position model. Lineage: Bacteria; Candidatus Saccharimonadota. The record is from RNAcentral.
GAGUUUGAUCCUGGCUCAGGAUGAAUGCUGGCGGCGUGCCUAACACAUGCAAGUCGAGCGGUAACAGGUCUAGUUUACUAGAUGCUGACGAGCGGCGGACGGCUGAGUAACGCGUGGGAAUUUGCCCCAAAGUGAGGGAUAACUGCCCGAAAGGGUAGCUAAUACCGCAUAUGGUCUUCGGAUUAAAGGAUUUAUCCGCUUUGGGAGAAGCCCGCGUCGGAUUAGGUAGUUGGUAGGGUAAUGGCCUACCAAGCCGACGAUCCGUAGCUGGUCUGAGAGGAUGAUCAGCCAGACUGGAACUGAGACACGGUCCAGACUCCUACGGGAGGCAGCAGUGAGGAAUCUUCCACAAUGGGCGAAAGCCUGAUGGAGCAACGCCGCGUGAAGGAUGAAGGCCUUCGGGUUGUAAACUUCUUUUAUG